AAUACCUUUUUUAGUUACCAAAAUAAGUUGCUCUGUGGAGAAUUUCUGAUGAUCUCAUGGUGAUUUUCCUGCACCCGGAAGACACUUUGCUUUGCUUUGGGACCAUGGAUAUUCCUUGGGGCAGCCACCAAGGAUGAAUAAGGUUUGAAUGGGGAGGCACUGGCCUCGGAGCUCCUUGCUGCUGACAUCAGUUGUGCCCUUGUAGGAGACGUCCUGGUCCUGUCUGCCUCAGAGGCUUCCAUCUGCGGAUUUCCUGAGGUCGUCCCCUUACUCCUCUGCUGCAGUCUCUCUCAACAUUUCAACUGUCUGCUCCAGAAAGUUACUCUGUCACUAAGUAAAAUAAAUACAAACAAAAUAAGCAAUAAUCUACCCCCUUCCUUUCUCCUCUGGUCCCCUCUCUGUCUGCCUGUCACCCCCUCCUCAAUGAGAACGUGGAUCCCUCGUGGCAUUUCUCUGGAGGGAUGGCCCAGGCUUUCCCAGCCCAUGCACUCUCAGCCAGA
Molecule: long non-coding RNA, 500 nt
Filed under: Homo sapiens (human)
Lineage: Eukaryota; Metazoa; Chordata; Mammalia; Primates; Hominidae
Description: non-protein coding lnc-GLB1L2-3:5
Source: RNAcentral